This 464-nucleotide ribosomal RNA is filed under the name Vreelandella stevensii. RNAcentral's name for it is "partial 16S ribosomal RNA". It matches the Rfam family "Bacterial small subunit ribosomal RNA", at positions 338 to 795 of the family's 1533-position model. Lineage: Bacteria; Pseudomonadati; Pseudomonadota; Gammaproteobacteria; Oceanospirillales; Halomonadaceae. The record is from RNAcentral.
CCUACGGGCGGCUGCAGUGGGGAAUAUUGGACAAUGGGGCAACCCUGAUCCAGCCAUGCCGCGUGUGUGAAGAAGGCCCUCGGGUUGUAAAGCACUUUCAGUGAGGAAGAACGCCUGGUGGUUAAUACCCAUCAGGAAAGACAUCACUCACAGAAGAAGCACCGGCUAACUCCGUGCCAGCAGCCGCGGUAAUACGGAGGGUGCGAGCGUUAAUCGGAAUUACUGGGCGUAAAGCGCGCGUAGGUGGCUUGAUAAGCCGGUUGUGAAAGCCCCGGGCUCAACCUGGGAACGGCAUCCGGAACUGUCAAGCUAGAGUGCAGGAGAGGAAGGUAGAAUUCCCGGUGUAGCGGUGAAAUGCGUAGAGAUCGGGAGGAAUACCAGUGGCGAAGGCGGCCUUCUGGACUGACACUGACACUGAGGUGCGAAAGCGUGGGUAGCAAACAGGAUUAGAUACCCCUGUAGUC